UUUCCGUAGGUGAACCUGCGGAAGGAUCAUUAUUGUAUAACCGAGGUGCGAGGGCUUUCGCGGACCCGAAAGGUCGCGGACGCCCGAGUGCCCUCACCCACCUCCAUCUCACCCCUAUGUGCACCACCGCGUGGGUCCCCCUUUGGCUUGUUCGGAGGGGGGCUUACGUUUUCACACAAACUUUGUAUGCAGUGUAGAAUGUAUUUUUUGUUUUUGCGAUCACGCAAUCAAUACAACUUUCAACAACGGAUCUCUUGGCUCUC
This 263-nucleotide unclassified non-coding RNA is filed under the name plant metagenome. Its description in RNAcentral is "partial contains small subunit ribosomal RNA, internal transcribed spacer 1, and 5.8S ribosomal RNA". The record is from RNAcentral.